GACCAAAACUCUAACCACUGUCUCACCUAGCUCUGCCUCAGAAGGAAAUAAAUGAAGGAGGAAGAAAUGGAGGGAGAGGAAGAGAGCAGAGAAGAGAAAUGGAGAAAGGAUAGUAAUAUUUAAAGAGAAGUCAAACAACUAUUGCUAUACUGGAGUUAUUUCAUGCAGUAGAGUGGGGAACUUGAAGUCAGGAAGAACUUACUACUUAAGUAACCUGAAACAAAUCACUUGGAUUCUUUCUGCUUCCAUUUCUUCACCUAUAAAAUCCAAGUUUUGGAGUCUUGCAGUCUUGCAAAAGGUAUCCUUCCUGAACCCCAAAGGGAUCCUUCCUGCCCAUAACAUUUUGGCUCCCAGAAGAACGAGGGAAACCACAGGGGUACACAUUGACCACCAUAACAUUUUGAUGCCCAAUGUUUUUGGCCUUGGAUCAUCCACAAGGACACAGCC
Monodelphis domestica (gray short-tailed opossum) is the source of this 447-nucleotide non-coding RNA. The record is from RefSeq and is a predicted model, not a curated record. Lineage: Eukaryota; Metazoa; Chordata; Mammalia; Didelphimorphia; Didelphidae.